UCAGGUAUUGGGUAUCAUAGAGUUCUCACACAGGACAGGCUUGUUGGCUCCUCUUCUCAGUGUACAUGAUAAGGAUAUAUAUUUAUUUUAGAAAAACACUUAGCCAGAAGGAACACAACAUGUAGUGAGAGAUAAAUUAUGCAGAUAAUGUUCUAUUAUGCACACAGAGUAAAAAGUACAAGGGACAUGAAUUUCCCCAGGGAGACACCUCUGCAAGAGGAGGCUGGGACAACACAGAAAAUAAAAUAUGAAGAAGAAGAAAAUGAAUUGGAUGUAGUCAGUUAUGGCAUAUUUUGCUUGAAGGAGGAGGAAGACUGAAUGAGCAAAAAAUUUUACUGGGGGGGCAAUUCCUUCUAAAGAAGUGACUGUAUAUUGGCUGUGUCACUUAAUCAAGGUCACUGCUCUAACACAUGAGGACAGGGCUUUGACCCUGCAGGUAUUUAUGAGGCUAGGAGUGGGUGACUGGAAAGUGCGAAAGGAAUCAAUACAGAAAACAACAGGCAGCAUCUCUUCUAUCCAGCCUUUCCCUUUGCUCUGAGACAGGGAACACAACGGCUUUUUCAGCUCUAGUCUGUGGUACAUGGCCCAUUGAGGUCUGGCACUAUCCAUUCCUGUGGAUUGUGCAGCAAUGCAAGAUCACCUCCAGCAGACAAAGCAGCCACUGGUCGUAUCAGACACGGGCACAAAAGCCCUUCCUAGGAUGGAGUAAUAAUUGUACUUGAGCAGCAGAACAUGGAGAGAGUCUGAGUGGGCAAUAGCACUUCAUCAAGAACAACAAGAAGAUGGCAAGAAGAUGUUUCUCUGAAGUCCCUCUUGGUUCACCCCCAGAGCCGUACCUUGUAACAGCAGGUCUCAAAACCAACAUUUUGAAUCUGUCCCUGCUGCUGCUUGCACUGAUGCUCAGUUCCAUUGCGCCAAUCUGUCUGACACAUUUGUGCUUCUCCUUCACAGUGCAGCAGGCUCAAUUGUGCUUAAGUGGGCUAACUAAGGGAAUAAGAAAGGCAUUAGUCACAACUGGAGACUGGACUAAUUUGCUGAAGUUGGACAGGGAAUUCUGUCUCCUGGAGACCUGGCUGAUGUGAUCAGAAGAACUCACAAAUGGUAUUGAACCAAAGAUUCAUUCAGGGAUGACAUUACUGUAUUGCUUCCCAUCUGCUGUCGCUGAGGUCACCGUUCUGGCACAGAGCAGAACAGCUGCAGAGAUCAAGUGAUGGCCCUGCUAUUGCUUCCUGGAGGGAUGAACAUGGAAAUAAAAGUCAGGAAAAGGAAAUUGCCA
Molecule: long non-coding RNA, 1276 nt
Filed under: Anser brachyrhynchus (Pink-footed goose)
Lineage: Eukaryota; Metazoa; Chordata; Aves; Anseriformes; Anatidae
Description: lncRNA (ENSABRG00000017232.1)
Source: RNAcentral